AGGGCUAUAGCUCAGUUGGUAGAGCACCUCGUUAUCGAGAAGGUCUACGGUUCGAGUCCGUAUAGCCCUA
Molecule: transfer RNA, 70 nt
Filed under: Berchemia lineata
Lineage: Eukaryota; Viridiplantae; Streptophyta; Magnoliopsida; Rosales; Rhamnaceae
Description: tRNA-Val
Rfam family: tRNA
About the family: Transfer RNA (tRNA) molecules are approximately 80 nucleotides in length.
Source: RNAcentral